Spea bombifrons (plains spadefoot toad) is the source of this 299-nucleotide long non-coding RNA. RefSeq lists it as uncharacterized. NCBI's taxonomy places the organism in Eukaryota, Metazoa, Chordata, Amphibia, Anura, Pelobatidae. The transcript is spliced from 2 exons. The record is from RefSeq and is a predicted model, not a curated record.
UAUACACACGCCGUGUCUCCCAUCAACUUAACUCGCGGGACCAAAGCGAUGCAUCUCAGGCAUUCUCAGCUUCCUUAAAUGCCAAGAAGACGCAGCGUGAAGGAUGGGUGAUGUCACCGGCCACUUUUAGCUUUGCAGAUCCAAAGUGGGAUAUGAUGAAACAUUACAGUGUAUGAAAUCACAGAAGCUAUGGUGUUGGCAGUCUGUAAGAAAGUCCAUUGAAUGAUGUUUACCGGUGCCUCUUUGGAAAUGGUUGUUUUGGAAUAAUCAGAAUGUCAAACUACUGGUCAUCCUGAUAA